Molecule: long non-coding RNA, 7712 nt
Organism: Zonotrichia leucophrys gambelii
Lineage: Eukaryota; Metazoa; Chordata; Aves; Passeriformes; Passerellidae
Exons: 5
Source: RefSeq, a predicted model, not a curated record
GAAACCUGUAUUUGAAAGAAGUCAAUAUUAUCCAAAUUAAGAAUUGUUUUGGAGAACAAAUACUGAAUUGCAGCUUCCCCCCAACAAAGUAUUAGGGAAAAAAGUUCCAAAAUUCCAAAUUUUUUCCAAAUGUACAUUUUUUUAGCUUUAUUUUGCAGUAGUCUUGCCCUUAAAAAAAAAAAGGCAGAAAAUCCCACCCUAAAUAAAAAACCGAACCACUUUAAAAUAAAAUGAGCAAGAGAUGAUCAGACAUGGCAUGCAAAUAUCUAAACCAGCAACCAUUUGCUGAACCCCUCAUGCUAAAUCCUUUCUCAACAAACCUUGGAUGCUGUACAUCUGCCUGUUCUGUGAAAGCAAUAAACCACCUCAUAAAAAGGCCAAUUUAUAUAACUGUUUAUGCAGACAAUUUGUUCAGAUCAAUUGAUUUCAUGUGAAAAGCAUUUGUUUGUCUGUUAAUGUAGUACUAAGAUACAAGCUCUAAUUUCAGCAAAGGUGCUGUCUUAUAUUUUUUUAUGUAUGUAUAUAUAUACUUACAUAUAAUAUAUAAUGUAUUUAUGUAUUUUAUAUAUAAUGCAUUUAUGCUUGAGAGAGAGUAAGAGAGAAGGAUGGAGCUGCAGCCACACAGGUCACAGCAGCCUGUAUGAAGACUAGAGUUCAGUGAGAUCAAAAUUGCAAAACCAUCAGCUUUCAAUAGUCAGAUGUCUUACAAAGGGAUAUCUGAACCUGUGAAAUGCCAGGCAGCUAUGCCUAGAUACUCCAUCACUAUCAGUCCAAGACAAGAGUCUGGUAAGGAAAACUAAAUUACUGGGAUCAGAUUAAUUUAAAUCCCUGUUAACCAGUAAUCCCAAAUAUUUGUAAGUGGAGCUUACCUAAGAUCUCACAGGAGAAGACCACCAACUCAAAGGUUUUAGUGUUUUCUAUGAAAAAUAUCAAGUUGAAAAGGCAAUAACUGUCUCACACUGAGAUAUGCAGAUUCAGCCUUUCCUAAAAAGGAUAAAGCUGCAAGAGUGUUCAUGUCCUUACUAAAUGGUAGCACUGUUCUUCUAUCUGUUCUUCAUAAAGAAGCCUAACACAAAAUUAAAUGUCUGCAUUUCUGCUGUCUCCAUCCUAAAGCAAAUCCAUUUGAUCACUCGGACAUGCACUUUGACUACAAAAUAGUUUUUUUAAUGUUUCAGGUAAUUUUGGGCUUAACUCCAAAAUUUAAUUGUCUCUCGGAUUUUGUAUUUCUUAAACUGGAAGGAAAUACCAGCAUAGAUAUCUAAUAAUUACUGUUAGAAAAAAGCUGGCUUUCCAUUCCUUAUUGGUACAAACCCAUCAGUUCAAGUGGUAACAGGAGCAGAUCAAUGCCUCAUACCUUAGACUGACAUGACAAACAGCUUUUUGACAAAAUUUACUGCACACAAUAUAGUCAUUAACAUUCAGAUUAGUCAUCUUGAACCAUUUGUUAAGCAGUUUUUCUUUGCUUCCAGUAAAAGCCUUAACUUUCUUUUAUUCUAUUUUCAGACACUUCUGAAGCGACAAACUAACCAUAAAAGAAACUGCUAUACCAGUCUUAAGAUUUUUAUGACUGUAAUAUCAAUGGCAAAAUGCUCUAGAAAAAAGUAUUACUUAAUACUCAAGAAUGAGUUUUAAACCAUUAAGUUUUGAAUUGCAUGCUAAAUAUUACCCAGAUUAUAUUUGCAAUUAGUAGCAUCAUGCAUAUCUGACAAGAGAUCCAGGUCUUUUAUAAAGGAAAAUGUGAGCAGGUAAAAUUUGAUUGCUUUCUUGCUGUAAUUUUCUGUAAAAAAUGUAUCCUAUUUAAUUGAUGUAAUACCUAAUGAUGCUAGAAAGAUACAUAGAUGUGCAUAACUGUAUCAUGUUUCUGCUGUAAGUGAAUAAGAGGACUGUAAUGAGAAAAUAUGACAAGGAUUUCUUGAUCAGUUAUAUCUGUAAGCCAGUGGUUUAAAACUGAUGCAGUUUAUGGCAAUGGAAUACCCAUGAAACCUUUUACUCCUCACGUUAAACAAGAUAAAAGAGUCCUUUAACUUUUUCUUAUUUUCUUCCCAUCCUAACAAUAUGAAUAAUGAGAAACAUGAGUGGCAACAACAGAUGCAGAUGCUAUUGAAGAGUGAUCCCAACGUGGCUCCAGGUUAUGACAAGGUUUUGCAGACUCUCUGACUACGUCUUUCCCAAGACUCAAAAGGAGGAGCAAUGCAGUGGCUGGUACCCAUUUCAGCUUGUUUCUCCCCAGAGAAGCAAACCUCCAUUGGUAAAACACACUGAGGUGAAGAAAUGAUUUGACUGCACUGGGCGGCAGCACAAGCGGGAGUGAAGCGCCGCCGGGGAAUGUCCCUGAGACGCCGCUUCCCUGCCCGGGCUGUGCCGCACCCCGUCCUCCGUCCCUUCAGCACCACCCGCCGCGGACAGGACGCGUUCCCGGCGCCGCCGCUGCUCCGCUCUCGCCCGGCGGAACCAGAGGGAGAACGCGCCGUGUUCAACCCUCUCCUGCUCCUCGUCCCCUCCGGCACUCACCUGCACCCGGGCUUCCGUCAGGUCAAGGCGCAGGGCCAGCUCCUCUCUGCGGGAAGAGCACUCAGUUAGAGCCGGAGCUCGCCCGCCGCCCCGGCCCGGCCGCGCCCGCCCCUCCCGCCGCUACCUGGUGAACACGUCGGGGUAGUGGGACUUGCAGAAGGCGCGCUCCAGCUCCUCCAGCUGGAACGUGCUGAACGUGGUGCGGUACCGCCGCUGCUUCCUCUUCACCGGGCCCGGUGCCUCGGAGCCGGGCGGGCGCUCCUCGCGCUCCUCCGCCUGCGGCUCCUCCGCGGGGCUGCGCGCUCGGCCGGGCCGCGGCGUCUCCGCGCGUUCCGCGCCUGAGGGACACAACCGCGGAGUUACCGGGGCGGGCGGGCGUGCAGCGACCCCGCCGCCCCUCGCCGGGCCACCUCUGACCGUGCCGCCCUCCCCGCCGCCCCUCACCGUGCCGGCCCGCGGCGGGGCCCCGGCCCAGGAUGCUGUCGAUGAAGUAGGAGGUGAGGAGGUGCAGGGCCGGCGGGGCGGCGGGGGCCGCGCUCUGCAUGGCUGCGGGCAGGGCCCCCGCGCCGCGCCGCGUUUUAUGGGCGCGGGCAGCGCCCGGCUCCGCGCCCCGGCAUUAGCAUUUCAUUAGCGCGUGGCGUCAAGGCCGGGGGUGGGACGCGCCGUGCAGGAGCCGGGCCACCUCCCCCGGGCGGGCACAGAACCGUUCGCUGCCCUGGGGCCCUACCGCCCGCUCUCUCCGCUCCCGCAGGCCGGCCGUAACUUUCUGAAGCCUCGUUCGGGGGCGCGGAGCGGCUGCGGUGAAGUUGUGCCGGUGCUCGCCGCGGUGCGGGAGAGCCGUGCCCGGCUCCUCGAGAGGUGAGGGUGGGUCCGCAGUGAGUGCUGGGGGAUCCGGCUGAGACCCAGGAGUGAAGGAAAAGGGUCACCAGUGUUCACCUUUAGUGCUCCUCAAAGGGUGAGGAUGGGUCAGCAGCGAGGGCUGAGCGACCCUGCUCAGAUCCAGGAGUGAGGGAGAAGAGUCACUAGUGUUCACCUUUAUUGCUCCUCAUGACCUAACACUUGUUGAAUUCAGCUUUUUAAGGCUGACCUUGCAAAGUACCGUGUGCCAGUAGGUGAAGGGAAAGUGCACAAACCCGUGCAAGUCCGAGUCUUUUUUUCAUGGAGAUCUCUAAUUCCACUCCUGCUGUAAUGAUGCUGUCGGUGCUGUUACAGCAAUGGUUCCUCAACAGGAGGCCUGGAAAUGAUUUCCUGCACAGGGAGACUUCCAGCAGUUUGGUGAUCUUACCGUAGUGUACUGAUAGAGACUGUCAUAAAUGAGAUGACAAAAUGACAAAAUGAGAUCUUGAUUUUGGGGGAUAAGAAUGAAAUACUACUUUCUAGAGAGUCUUACAGAGAGUACAGCAAAAAAAGGGCUAAGAACCCCCAAACCCCAGAAAUAGUGGCUGAAAGCUGAAGCCAGAAAAAUUUAGAUUAGAAAUAAGGCAAAGAUUUAAAAAUCUGUAUGUUUAUAUCUAAGUUUUGAAACAAGAGUGGUGGAGUUCUGUCUUCUCUGUCUUCAUAUCAAGUCUGGAUUAGUUUACAUUCUAGCUGAAGACAUAGAGUCUGUCAGUGCAGAAAUGCUUCCUUACUCUGUGACCUGUCAAAAAUCUUUUGGUUACUCCUGGCAUUGCAGCCCACAGGCAAAUUUUUUUUCAGUUUUUUCCUUCUCUCCUCUCACCUUACUGGGGCUGUGUGACCGCUUUAGUGCUUCUAUCUUUGUACUCACAGAGCUCCUUGCUGUCUCUCUGUUCUGCUGCAGGGCUCUUCUUUGACUCAGACCUUGACUUCAUUCCUUUCACUACCAUUUGGUUUGGCCUGGGGCAAUACCUUUGUGAACCUAUUCCUGUGGCAUUCUCUAUGAGAAGGUUUGGGACAGCACUUUGUGAUGCUAACUCUUGAAAAAGUAAGGUGCUUGUAUGAAAGAUGACUCCAGCAAAAUUUACAGAAGGUGGUUUUUUUUUUAACAUGGUGUUUUUCUUGACAUUUCCGAGUUUAUUGCCCUAUUCAUAUCCUGAUCCUAAGUUCUAAAGCUGAGACUGCCACAUUCACCCUUAAUUGUGUUCAAAGGGCUAGGGACUCAUUUGUGUUGGGAAAAACAGUGACUCUAUGCAUCCUAUGGACCAAAUGCUGUCAACUUCAGGAAACAAGAUUUGAGCGAUCUAAUUUCCUCUGACUAAAGAAACUGUCAGAACUUCAUAAGGAAUGUCCUGGAUAUGAAGUAGCCAGUGACAAAUUUGUUAUAUAGUUACAAAUGUGUUACAGUUGCACAUGUGUCUAUGGUCAAAGAGAAGCCCCUGCAUCUUGGAGAGCAUGCCCAGGAAUUCCAGUGGGAUCUCCCAGAAGCCAGAAGUGACUAACUUUUGUUACUUCUGUGUUCCAUACAAACCAAAUCCAUGAACAACAGCAGAUAAAGCUUCUGUUAGGAGCUGCAGGGGUGGCCUCUGUGAGAAGCUUCCUGCACAUUCAACAAGCCAAUGCCAGCUGGCUCCAGGAUGGACUCACUGCUGGCCAAAGCUGAGUUCAUCAGCAAUGCUGGUAGCACCUCUGGGACAACAGGAUUAAGAAGAGGAGAAAACCUGCACAACAGCAACUGCAACCAGAGGGAGGAGUGAGAAUAUGAGAAGAACAGCUCUGCAGACACCCAGGUCAGUGAAGAAGAAUGGCAGGAAGUUCUCCAGGUGCCAGAGCAGAGACUCCCCUGCAGCCUGUGGUGCAAAGCUGAGGUGAGGCAGCUGUGCCCUGGAGCCUGUGGGCGUCCAUGGUGGAGCCGAGAUCCACCUGCAGCCCAGGGAGAACCCCAAGCUGGAGCAGGUGGAUGUACCCAAAGGAGUUUAUGACCCUGUGGGGGCCAGUGCAGGAGUUGGUUUGCUGGCAGAAGUUGUGACUCCAUGGGGGACCCACUCAGGAACAGUCUGUUCCUGAAGGACUGCAGCCAGGGGUGGAUGAGACUCAUACUGGAGAGGAUCCAGGACAGCUGUCCCCACCUGACCAAAGGGGUAUCCCAGAGCAUUUGAUGUCUGCUCAGCAAUAAAGGCUAAGGGAAAAGGGUGUAGGGCAUUUAUUAUUAUGAAAAUUGUCUUCUAGAACAGCUGUUGCAUGGGCUGAAGCCCUACUUCCCCAAAAGUAGCUGGAUAUGGUCUGCUAAUGGGAAAUAGAGAAUAAAUCUUUUGUCUUCCUUUGCUUCUCUGCCUGGCCUAUGCUUUUGCAUUAUUAAACUGUGUUUAUUUUAGCCCAAUAUUAUUUUCAUCCUAUUUUCUCCCCUCUUUAUCAAAGAGGGAAGACAGCAGCUUGGUAGGCAACUUGUGUUUAGUCAAAGCCAACCCGCAAUACAUUUGUAUUUUUCAGAUGUCCUCAGGCAGGCCACAUUUACACUGCUGACUGAUGUUUGAGUUGUUAUUUUGGAUUUGUAUUGUGUCUUGUCAUGAGCUGAGCAACCUAUGUUAUAGUUGCUGCAUAAUAGCAUUUAAAAAUGCCCUAAAAGAGUGUGAUUUAAAUACAUUUUCAUUACUUUGUGUUUAACCAAUCUUAUUGCUACUGCAUUCUUGGUUUUCUGUGGCUCCCAUACAAAGUAAAAUGUGAGAGAUGAAUCACAAAGCUCACCUUGUCCAUGGAGUGUUGGAAAGAUGAAGGGAAGAAUAUGCAUCUGUUUGUGGAUGACAGAAGAGCUCCAACUGCAUGAGGGGCACUGGUGUUUGCUGUGCUUGAAAUGUCUCUUGGCAUGUUGAGGCCUGAAGAUCUGCAUGAAUUGAAGAUCAGCACCUCUCCUUCGUUUUAUGGGAUUAGAUCUAGGUUGUGUGUGGCAAUCCUGUAAACACUGGGAAAAUGCAAGACUGAAUAUUGUGGUACAGCCUUACUUGGUUUCUCUCAAGCCAAUUGAUACUUAUUAUACCAACUGCACCAGAAUGCAGUAACUCUUUUGUAAUGGAAUCACAGUAAGCUGGUUUCCCAUUUCAGUUAAUAACUUGUGAAAAUAAUGUAAGUGCUUUUUGCUGAUGAGGCAUACGUGACUGCUUGGAAAAGAAUGUGUGUGCAGUACAUGGCAAUUCAGCUUCCCUUUCUGUGCUGCAUAUUCAAAAGCACAAUAAAAUAUUAGUUGAAAGAAGAAUAAGAUAAGAAUUGGAAUUUGCUGACUAUGGAGAAGGCAUUGUGUUGAGAUGGCAGCCACUGCUGUCACUGUGCUCAUUCUGACCAACCCACCUGGAGCAGAUGCCCCUCUCUUGUGUCCUCAUCCUAAUCUUUUGGCAGUCUCACUUCCAGAUCUCUUCCUUCCCCCUCUGCAGACCUUUGAUUUUAUGCAGACAAGUGGAGAGCCUCAGUCUUCCCUUUGUGCAGUUGUUCUUGAAGGAGACAGACAGACAGAUAGAUAGAUAAUUAGUUCUUGAAAGGCUGGUAUGUAAAAGGUUCCUGUUGAAGUGACAUGAAAGUGUUGCAAGAUACCUGGAAUGACCUAAACAUACUGCACUGGGUGCUCUCCCAGCAGUUGCUGUAGUUAUUUCUCAAACCCUUCAGGUAAAAAGUGAAGAGCUCCUUGGUGCACAGGUAUCUCUAGCAGUGCUGUUAUGAUAAAUUAAUAUUUACUGGAUCUGCCAAAGCCACUCCUUUGGGGUCACAAUUAAAUGAGGCUCUCAUCUCUUCUAAAAGGUUAAAAAAAAAAAGUAUGUUUUAACAUCUCAAAGUUUCUAGACUCUGCAUUUAUGGAGCAAAAAAUGGUAACACCCAGGGUCCCAGAAGACCAAGAAUAAGUAAAAAGGAUGCAAUACUAAUUUUUUUUUCUUAGAAAGUGCUAGAUAGUAGACUAAACCCCCAUUUUUUAUCUCUGUUUAAGGAUUCCUAUUUUACUAUUUCCUAGUGAUGUUAGUCCUCUAUCAUGUUUGCAUAUUCCUAGAGUGAAAAUUACUUUUUUUUCAAAUUACUUUUUUUAGAGGCUGACUACCAAUGUUGGACUAGACUUGGAGGACCACAUUCCUUCUUCCUUUGCUGGUCCUUGACAACAAAUCACCACUUCUACAUGCAUCAUUUAUUCAUAUGUGAAAUUGGAAUGGUCACACACUCUUUGCUACUAAAUUACCUCUGAGAAAGCUGGGUCUGUUUAGAAUAAUAUUUAGAAUAAACACAGUUGAUGUUUAUCCAUUUACAAUAUUAAAAUGUGCUGUACAAAACCA